AAUAGAUACCCUGGUAGUCCACGCCGUAAACGAUGAGUGCUAAGUGUUAGAGGGUUUCCGCCCUUUAGUGCUGCAGCUAACGCAUUAAGCACUCCGCCUGGGGAGUACGGUCGCAAGACUGAAACUCAAAGGAAUUGACGGGGGCCCGCACAAGCGGUGGAGCAUGUGGUUUAAUUCGAAGCAACGCGAAGAACCUUACCAGGUCUUGACAUCCCACUGACCGGUAUAGAGAUAUACCUUUCCCUUCGGGGACAGUGGUGACAGGUGGUGCAUGGUUGUCGUCAGCUCGUGUCGUGAGAUGUUGGGUUAAGUCCCGCAACGAGCGCAACCCUUGAUCUUAGUUGCCAGCAUUUAGUUGGGCACUCUAAGGUGACUGCCGGUGACAAACCGGAGGAAGGUGGGGAUGACGUCAAAUCAUCAUGCCCCUUAUGACCUGGGCUACACACGUGCUACAAUGGAUGGUACAAAGGGCUGCAAGACUGCGAAGUCAAGCCAAUCCCAUAAAACCAUUCCCAGUUCGGAUUGCAGG
This 529-nucleotide ribosomal RNA is filed under the name uncultured bacterium. RNAcentral describes it as "bacterial SSU rRNA". It matches the Rfam family "Bacterial small subunit ribosomal RNA", at positions 777 to 1304 of the family's 1533-position model. The record is from RNAcentral.